Molecule: unclassified non-coding RNA, 3834 nt
Filed under: Leishmania donovani
Lineage: Eukaryota; Euglenozoa; Kinetoplastea; Trypanosomatida; Trypanosomatidae
Description: gene:LdHU3.10.1410(CDS-product:hypothetical_prote in_conserved)
Source: RNAcentral
UGGUCAACGCCAGUGGCGCAUGGACGCACAAACAUACACACGCACACAUACACCACCACUGAAGGGCAGAUUGUGCUCGUCACCGCUUUCUCUUUUUCUCGCUGUGCUUCGACGCUCUACUCGCCAUCUCGCUCCGCUGCCACCUCAGUCACACACCUCCUCCCUGUCUCCAUGAACGGGCAUGGCCCAAGCUGCUCCGCCAUUAAAAACGGCGUGGAGCACCGCUACGCACAUGUGAAGUGGUUUCACGAAGUGAACUCCCAGGCUGCGUUGUUGGAGGCAGCGCAGGCCAUCGACCAGAUGUUUUACGACAAACGCGAAGGUGGGGUGCGAGGCAGCGAGGCCAAGAUCAACCACGGCAUGCUGGCCGACAAAAAUGCCAGAGGCAAUGGUGGUGGUGGUCGUGGCAACGUCGCAGUUGCCCACGGCUUCUCCAAUGCACCGGCGUGCACCGCCAUCGGUAUCGAGGCGGAUAUUCAGUGGCACCCAACCCUGGAAACGGCCAUCAUGCGGCGUGACCCCCUGCCGUCAGCGGUGGCCGACGUGUUCUCGGGCGACGGCGACGGCAACAAGGAUCGAAACGCACACAAUGAUCGUUCUCCAGCUGCUAAAACGACCGCGGAUGCGGCGGAGGACGGCACGCUUCCACUCGAGGCGUUUCUCCAGACGUUGGCGGAGGCAGUGAAGGGGUGGCGGCAACGCGCCGCCUUCUUGGCCACAGCGCCCGCCCGCUCCCCAGCAGCUGCGCCGCCUCUGCGCGUCAUCGUAAGGCUCCACUUUGAAGCGCUCCCGGCAGCACAGCAGCUCCUCACGCACGCCGAGGCGCAUACGUGGGCGGGCCUUGAGGAACUAUGCUGGCAGCCCCACAGCGAAGGAAGCGCAGCGGCGGCCGUGUCCGGUACUGCGCGCCAACACGCCUCACUCUCGGUCAUCGAUCACUCAGCCGACGCUUCGGCGACGCCAUGCGAAGCGCAGCGACAGCCGUCCAUGCCGGUAGCGUCGCAUCCUCCCGCAGCUGUGGCCAUAGAGCUGUGGUGGAGCGCCGACGUGGUCGCGCAGAGCGGGGUCACCCCGCACCCCUUGUCCUUUGCUGCGGCCCCGGCAUCUGUCGUGCAGGGUCUCAUGGCGCGAACGGCCCAGGUGCUCGGCCCUCGCGUUCCGCUUGGCUUUUCUCUUGGCUGGGUCCUCUGCCCGCGUGCCGUGCCGGCUGAAGUGCUGGCGAUGACCAAGGCCACUGCGGCGUCAUCAACCACUGCCUCAGCGACGACGGUGAUGCCGCAACCGCGAUAUGUCUUUUACAGCCUCCUCGAGGAUGCCGCAGCCAUGAAAUCCUUCCUGGACGGCCUCUGGAAGGAGCUAGACUCCUCUGUGCACCGGCACAGCAAUGGGGCAGCUGUGGAGCCCGGCGGAGGCACCGCCCUGUCCGGCAUCGUGGGCAGUGAGGGGAUGGAGAAACGCAGCGAUCAGGCGGUCGUCAGCGCGUCGGCGCCACCGCCAGCAUCACGCCUUGUUCGUCUCAUCACGUUCACGAUGAUGUUUGAGAGCGUGUUCGCCGACGUGUACACAGCAAAGGAGCGGCAGCAGGCCUUCGAGUGGUCGGUAGCGGCCACGGCGUCCCUCAACGCGGCGGCGAGGAAGGCAGACGAGACUCGCCGUGUCGCCGUAGCCGUGCUGGAGCACACCACGAAGCUCUUCAGCGCGUCGCACGUCACCACAAGUGCAACGAUGAAGACGCGCAUGAGCAGCACGGCAAGCAAGGUGGUUGAGACGGAGCAGCUCGAGGAGGAGUCGCUGAAGCACGCGGCGGUCCCAACAGCUGCGACGAUGACACCAUCGGGCGAUCCGCGUGCGUUUCCAACCUUUAGGAAGGCUAUCCGACCACCAUCGCCCGCCUCCCUGGCCGUCGUGUCGCCCGUUGCGCAGCCCAUGUCUUCCACGAAGAUCGAUGAUGAUGGCGCGUUUCAGUUAAACGUGGACAGAGCCGCACGCGUCUUCUUCCCCUGUUGCAGCAUCGAUACCUGACGAGUGCCGAUGCAACGAACGUCGCUCGCGCUUGCGGCUGUGUAGAAGAGGGAAAAAAGGGGGUGGAUGCUGAACAGCCUGUAAAGGAGGGGAGCGGGCUCAGCGAGCAAGGCGAGGGCGCUGCCUUGCACGACGCACUCACAAACCGGCUCCCUCCCAUCUCCCUCUUCCCCUCCCUCACUCACACACACACACACACACACACACACACACACACACCGAAGCACUGAUGUACGCAUUCCCUAUUUUGUCUUUUGUUUCCUGCGCAUAAGGCAUGCACGCAGACAUGCACACAUACACGUCAGCGCGUUGCUGUGUGUGUGUGUGUGUCCCUCUCUCGACUCUCUGCACAUUAUCUUUCUUUGUCUAGUUGCUUCCUCCUCUCUGCUGCUCGCUGCUUCGGCGUACUUUUUGCUGCUGUUUUUCCUCAUGUAUAUAUAUAUAUAUCUGCGUGUGCGUGUGCACCUCGAUGGACCCGUUGCGCCGAUGCGGGAUGGGGGAAGGUGAGUGGGGGGAGUGGUACAAACUUGCCCACAGACAGCCGCGUGCGUGCAUGCGCACGCAAGCCCGAUCAUCUGCCGAGCACAACGGAGAAAGACGACGGCGCCUUCUCUAUCUCCCCCGACUCGCUCUUGUUUGCUUUGGGUGCCUCUCUUGUCCUCCUCUCUCCCCCUCCCCCUCCUCCCCUCCACUGCUGAUGCCGCUGCUGCAUCAGCGUUAUCUCCGUGAGCACUUGCGUUCGCUUCAUUUUCUAUAGCGUGACCUCUCUCUCUCUCUCUGCCUGACUUGAUUCGGCCUUCUCCUUUCUUUACAUGCGGUGUCGUCGUGCACCUCGCCCUCCUCUUCCUCUCUGCCCUGCCGCGGCACUCGCAUGUUGGAGCUCGUCACAUUGCGCGGUCAGCCGCUUUUCGGGAGCCUCGCUCUGGUCCCUAGUCUGCGCUGGCUCCAGGCUCUGUGCGUAAGCAGGAGGCGUUAACCAAGCGAACAAGACAGAGAAGGGCCGGUGAGUGGGAGGCGCAGAGGAAAAGGAGGAGAGGGAGAGCAUGGCGGCAUCGCGAUCAGCUAAGUAACUUCAUUGAUGUGGGCUCUCGUGUACGUGCAUCCGCCUGGUGCCGAAGGCACAUAUGUUACGGUUCUAUCUUUCUUUGCGUAGGCUUCCGAAAGGGGCGUGGAUUUAGAGUGGCGUGCGCAGUUGCCUCCCCACUUGCCCUGCUUUUAUUCCCACCUCUCUUGCUCUCUCCGCUGCGUCCGAGGCGGCGUGAGCUAAUCACCUGGUCGCCGUCUCCACACUCGCAGACACACAUCAUAUUCGAUACGCACUUCGCCUCUCUCGAUGGCAUAGUGACGCCGCUAUUUCCUUCUCGCCCUCCCUCAUACCCCCAACUUCUCCACAGACAAGCACACGCACCCACCUUAUGCAGGUCCUCAUGCCUCACAAAAAUAUGGUCCUCCGUUCUCUCUCUCUAUCUCUGCAUUUGUGCGUGUGUCUGGGCCCAUUCCCUUGUGCGGGUCGUUGCAAGCUGGAGAUUCGGCCCAAUCGAUCCUCGAUGCCCCUCCCUACCCCCUUCGCUCUUUUUUAGCGUAGGCCUCUCCUCCUCUCCCCUGUCGUCCUGCUGCGUCCGUCUGCCAUACUGCUCUCCGACGGUGCGAGCACCUUGCGUGCUGGCGCGCAUGAAUACAGGCGCGUGCACACGCAAACUAUCGUCCCCAUCAUUCCCCCCUCCCCCUUACCUCUCUGCCCCCUCUCGUCCUGCCCAUCAACGCUUCAUGGCCCACUCGUCACGGCCGUCCUCUCGUUUUUUCUCUUCGCAG